Pteropus alecto (black flying fox) is the source of this 525-nucleotide long non-coding RNA. RefSeq lists it as uncharacterized. The transcript is spliced from 2 exons. The record is from RefSeq and is a predicted model, not a curated record. Lineage: Eukaryota; Metazoa; Chordata; Mammalia; Chiroptera; Pteropodidae.
UGUAGGCGAAGCUAGGCAGUGAGGCAGGCGGGCGGGGCUGCGGGGCUCCAGGUGCGUGCCGGAAGGGGCAGGUUUUCGGUGCGCGGUUCCCCGGUAGCCUGUGUGCGCACGGUUGGCGCCGGAAGUCAGACCUCAAGGGAAGUUUCGUUUUCUCGCAGUGCAAGGCCUUUAACGGAAUGAUCAGCCCUCCUUGUCCUUCGAUUGAACCAGACUCCAUUUGAGCGUUACGGUGGAUAUUUGCAGGAGGAGAGAGAAGAGGAAGAAACAGUAUUGCUUCCUGCCGUGUUAAGUGUGGGACCUAGAGGCCGAAUACCGAAUCUGAACCGCAAUCUCCCCAACCCCUGCCCGGUGCUCUCCCUUCCCCCACUCUGUCCCUUUACCCUCGCGUCCUAGGCUCUCCCUAUUAGAUCCCCACCGCACCACAGCCCGGCGUUCUCUCUCCCAUGCCCUACUAACCGGUUCCUCAAGUGCGAAAGCAGUCACCUCGUAAUAAACCACGUCCCCAAGUGUUGUUCGGUUAGAUGA